RNAcentral lists this ribosomal RNA (119 nucleotides) under Cebus imitator (Panamanian white-faced capuchin). The record is from RNAcentral. Lineage: Eukaryota; Metazoa; Chordata; Mammalia; Primates; Cebidae.
GUCUACAGCCAUACCACCCUGAACAUGGCCGAUCUCAUCUGAUCUCGGAAGCUAAGCAGGGUCGGGCCUGGUUAAUAUUUGGAUGGGAGACUGACAAGGAAUCCUGGGUGAUGUAGGCU